This 402-nucleotide ribosomal RNA is filed under the name Pseudomonas sp. RNAcentral's name for it is "partial 16S ribosomal RNA". It matches the Rfam family "Bacterial small subunit ribosomal RNA", at positions 355 to 774 of the family's 1533-position model. RNAcentral also lists the same sequence under 6 other names. Lineage: Bacteria; Pseudomonadati; Pseudomonadota; Gammaproteobacteria; Pseudomonadales; Pseudomonadaceae. The record is from RNAcentral.
UGGGGAAUCUUGCGCAAUGGGCGAAAGCCUGACGCAGCCAUGCCGCGUGAAUGAUGAAGGUCUUAGGAUUGUAAAAUUCUUUCACCGGGGACGAUAAUGACGGUACCCGGAGAAGAAGCCCCGGCUAACUUCGUGCCAGCAGCCGCGGUAAUACGAAGGGGGCUAGCGUUGCUCGGAAUUACUGGGCGUAAAGGGAGCGUAGGCGGACUGUUUAGUCAGAGGUGAAAGCCCAGGGCUCAACCUUGGAAUUGCCUUUGAUACUGGCAGUCUUGAGUACGGAAGAGGUAUGUGGAACUCCGAGUGUAGAGGUGAAAUUCGUAGAUAUUCGGAAGAACACCAGUGGCGAAGGCGACAUACUGGUCCGUUACUGACGCUGAGGCUCGAAAGCGUGGGGAGCAAACA